CUCCGACACCCAGGCUGAGCUGCUCCCAGCCAGCUCCAGACACUGCACCCACCGGGCUCCGCUCCACACGCCCUAAUCUCCCAACUGCCAGCCUUAGGACCAAGCAGAAGUGCAUCCCUGACCUUCCUGUGGUCCCAGCGCACAAUGGCCAAGACACCACAAUCACAAUGUAUCUUGCAGGUCAUAGCUCCCCUUUCUGAUAUUUUCAACUCAUGGGUAUGGCUCCUGCUGGCCUCCUUCACGCUUGCUCUGCACAAAAAUACACACACACUCACACGAUCACACUUGCACACACACACACACACUCCUCAGUACUACUGACAUCCAACCAAGUGCCGUGGACAGAAGAGCCAUCAUCUGCCCAGCGGUCUGGCACCCUGGAGACCUUUCCCCUGGCCUAGUUCUCCCGGCUCCUCAGGUCUCAGUUUGGACGCCCCAUUCCAAUCCAGGAAGCCUUCCUUACCCGGGCAAGCAAUGGAGACAGGCCCAAAGGCCAUGUGAAAGAUCAGGAAGAACACACAAAGCUCUGAGAGACUCGAGUGAAGGGAAUGAGGGGGGAGAUGCUCAAAACCAGAAAGACUGGCAAGGAAGGCAGGGACCAGAUCGUGGAGGAGACUUCAGAUCACACUCAGGGUCUCCAAUAAGAAUGACAAGAAAAAAUACUUUCCGCCGCCGCCGUCCCCAGAAGCCGCCAGGACCCUCGCGCUGUCGCCGCCGCGGCCCAGAUCCCCGCACCUGCCGGGGGAGACCUUCAGGCAGGGCUGCACCUUCGAACAAAGGGUAG
This 784-nucleotide long non-coding RNA is filed under the name Macaca mulatta (Rhesus monkey). RNAcentral's name for it is "lncRNA (ENSMMUG00000050554.1)". Lineage: Eukaryota; Metazoa; Chordata; Mammalia; Primates; Cercopithecidae. The record is from RNAcentral.